UACUGUGGGGCUCAGUGGGAAAGCAAGAGCUUGGCAUGCACAAAGCCCUGGGAUCAAUCCCAGCACGGCAA
This 71-nucleotide transfer RNA is filed under the name Marmota monax (woodchuck). It matches the Rfam family "tRNA". Rfam says of the family: Transfer RNA (tRNA) molecules are approximately 80 nucleotides in length. Their secondary structure includes four short double-helical elements and three loops (D, anti-codon, and T loops). The record is from Rfam by way of RNAcentral. Lineage: Eukaryota; Metazoa; Chordata; Mammalia; Rodentia; Sciuridae.